AGGCUUAACACAUGCAAGUCGAACGGGCUUCUUCGGAAGUCAGUGGCAGACGGGUGAGUAACACGUGGGAACGUGCCCUUCGGUUCGGAAUAACUCAGGGAAACUUGAGCUAAUACCGGAUACGCCCUUAUGGGGAAAGGUUUACUGCCGAAGGAUCGGCCCGCGUCUGAUUGGCUUGUUGGUGGGGUAACGGCCUACCAAGGCGACGAUCAGUAGCUGGUCUGAGAGGAUGAUCAGCCACACUGGGACUGAGACACGGCCCAGACUCCUACGGGAGGCAGCAGUGGGGAAUAUUGGACAAUGGGCGCAAGCCUGAUCCAGCCAUGCCGCGUGAGUGAUGAAGGCCUUAGGGUUGUAAAGCUCUUUUGUCCGGGACGAUAAUGACGGUACCGGAAGAAUAAGCCCCGGCUAACUUCGUGCCAGCAGCCGCGGUAAUACGAAGGGGGCUAGCGUUGCUCGGAAUCACUGGGCGUAAAGGGCGCGUAGGCGGCCGAUUAAGUCGGGGGUGAAAGCCUGUGGCUCAACCACAGAAUUGCCUUCGAUACUGGUUGGCUUGAGACCGGAAGAGGACAGCGGAACUGCGAGUGUAGAGGUGAAAUUCGUAGAUAUUCGCAAGAACACCAGUGGCGAAGGCGGCUGUCUGGUCCGGUUCUGACGCUGAGGCGCG
RNAcentral lists this ribosomal RNA (667 nucleotides) under uncultured Alphaproteobacteria bacterium. RNAcentral describes it as "bacterial SSU rRNA". It matches the Rfam family "Bacterial small subunit ribosomal RNA", at positions 44 to 755 of the family's 1533-position model. The record is from RNAcentral. Lineage: Bacteria; Pseudomonadati; Pseudomonadota; Alphaproteobacteria.